This 408-nucleotide ribosomal RNA is filed under the name Diversispora trimurales. RNAcentral describes it as "partial large subunit ribosomal RNA". The record is from RNAcentral. Lineage: Eukaryota; Fungi; Glomeromycota; Glomeromycetes; Diversisporales; Diversisporaceae.
AGAGUUAAAUAGUACGUGAAAUUGUUGAAAGGGAAACGAUUGAAGUCAGUCAUGCUAGUGAAAAUUCAGUUUGGUGGGUUUUGGGUUCAGGAGUUGAGGCAGGGUCAAACCGUUUCUCUUUUGAACUUGGAAUUUGUCAGAUGCACUUUUUCUUUGGCAGGUCAGCGUCGAUUUCGGAGGUUGUAAAAUACUUGGGGAAAAGUAGCUCUGCUUCGGGAGAGUGUUAUAGACCUUGGGUGAUGCAGCCUGUGGGAUCGAGGAUUGCAGCAAAUGCCUUUGGCAUGUCGCCUGAUCUCUGGAUGUCGCCUCGCUUGUAUCAACAUUCUUGGUGCCGGUGAGUAAUGGUGCUCAUAGGUUAGAGCGAUCAAAAAUUUGCUAAGGAUGCUGACGUAAUGGCUUUAAACGACC